UACGGAGGGGGCUAGCGUUGUCCGGAAUUAUUGGGCGUAAAGGGCACGUAGGCGGUUUUUUAGGUUGGGGGUGAAAGCCCAGGGCUCAACCCUGGAAUUGCCUUUAAGACUGCAUCGCUAGAAUUGUGGAGAGGUAAGUGGAAUUCCGAGUGUAGAGGUGAAAUUCGUAGAUAUUCGGAAGAACACCAGUGGCGAAGGCGACUUACUGGACACAUAUUGACGCUGAGGUGCGAAAGCGUGGGGAGCAAACAGG
RNAcentral lists this ribosomal RNA (253 nucleotides) under uncultured bacterium. RNAcentral describes it as "partial 16S ribosomal RNA". It matches the Rfam family "Bacterial small subunit ribosomal RNA", at positions 524 to 776 of the family's 1533-position model. The record is from RNAcentral.